UACGGAGGAUGCGAGCGUUAUCCGGAUUUAUUGGGUUUAAAGGGAGCGUAGAUGGAUGUUUAAGUCAGUUGUGAAAGUUUGCGGCUCAACCGUAAAAUUGCAGUUGAAACUGGCAGUCUUGAGUACAGUAGAGGUGGGCGGAAUUCGUGGUGUAGCGAUGAAAUGCUUAGAUAUCACGAAGAACUCCGAUUGCGAAGGCAGCUUGCUGGACUGCAACUGACACUGAUGCUCGAAAGUGUGGGUAUCAA
RNAcentral lists this ribosomal RNA (248 nucleotides) under uncultured Bacteroides sp. RNAcentral's name for it is "partial 16S ribosomal RNA". It matches the Rfam family "Bacterial small subunit ribosomal RNA", at positions 524 to 771 of the family's 1533-position model. The record is from RNAcentral. Lineage: Bacteria; Pseudomonadati; Bacteroidota; Bacteroidia; Bacteroidales; Bacteroidaceae.